ACGAACUGUGCGAACGUUAUUCGGAAUCACUGGGCUUACAGGGUGCGUAGGCGGCUUGUUAAGUAGGGUGUGAAAUCCCCCGGCCCAACCGGGGAAUUGCGCUCUAAACUAGCAGGCUUGAGUGAGCUAGGGGUGCACGGAACUUCCAGUGGAGCGGUGAAAUGUGUUGAUAUUGGAAGGAACACCGGAGGCGAAAGCGGUGCACUGGGGCUUAACUGACGCUGAGGCACGAAAGCCAGGGGAGCGAACGGGAUUAGAUACCCCGGUAGUCCUGGCCGUAAACGAUGAACACUGGGCGGGAGGAGGUUCGCCUCUUCCGGCCGUAGCGAAAGCGUUAAGUGUUCCGCCUGGGGAGUAUGGUCGCAAGGCUG
This 371-nucleotide ribosomal RNA is filed under the name uncultured bacterium. RNAcentral describes it as "bacterial SSU rRNA". It matches the Rfam family "Bacterial small subunit ribosomal RNA", at positions 525 to 896 of the family's 1533-position model. The record is from RNAcentral.